UGAUGCUUAGCAGGAGGUGGUGCUUAACUUACCGAUACAUGUUGCUCAUAUGUAGAAUCUUCUGGGGCGACGAGGAUAAAACUUGCUUCCUAGUGUCCUUCUUGUGUUCGUUGUGUUGAGCCUUGUAAAUCACCGUGGUCCUAACCUUAAACGUUGGAAUUUCCAUUCGUCAAGGUUUCCAAAUCUCUUGCCAUUGUACUUUUCUUUUAUGUUUUAUCGAAGAAUUUUUAAAAAUAAGAAUUCCAAGAAUAAGAACGUACGAAAAAUCUACAAGUGAACAAGAAAACGAAAAACCUUGAAUGCGAGAGUCUUUUACGAGCGUUUGAUCAAGACUUUCAAUGAAAGCACCAA
RNAcentral lists this long non-coding RNA (351 nucleotides) under Malus domestica (apple). RNAcentral's name for it is "long non-coding RNA (MDOM_LNC013928)". Lineage: Eukaryota; Viridiplantae; Streptophyta; Magnoliopsida; Rosales; Rosaceae. The record is from RNAcentral.